UACGUAUGGGGCAAGCGUUAUCCGGAUUUACUGGGUGUAAAGGGAGCGUAGGCGGCCUGGCAAGCCUGAUGUGAAAUACCGGGGCCCAACCCCGGGGCUGUAUUGGGAACUGCCAGGCUGGAGUGCCGGAGAGGCAGGCGGAAUUCCUAGUGUAGCGGUGAAAUGCGUAGAUAUUAGGAAGAACACCAGUGGCGAAGGCGGCCUGCUGGACGGUGACUGACGCUGAGGCUCGAAAGCGUGGGGAGCAAACAGG
RNAcentral lists this ribosomal RNA (253 nucleotides) under uncultured bacterium. RNAcentral's name for it is "partial 16S ribosomal RNA". It matches the Rfam family "Bacterial small subunit ribosomal RNA", at positions 524 to 776 of the family's 1533-position model. The record is from RNAcentral.